This 60-nucleotide transfer RNA is filed under the name Mileewa albovittata. RNAcentral describes it as "tRNA-His". Lineage: Eukaryota; Metazoa; Arthropoda; Insecta; Hemiptera; Cicadellidae. The record is from RNAcentral.
AUUUAAGUAGUUUAUGUAAAAUAUGGAUUUGUGGUUUCUAUGAAGUUAAAUUUAACCUUA